Molecule: long non-coding RNA, 1519 nt
Organism: Homarus americanus (American lobster)
Lineage: Eukaryota; Metazoa; Arthropoda; Malacostraca; Decapoda; Nephropidae
Exons: 2
Source: RefSeq, a predicted model, not a curated record
UCAACCCCAUCUCGGUUUAAUUCUCAGUCAUCCUCUUCAUCUUACCCCAAUUUCAAGUUAAUCUUUACCACCACUACUACUACUACUCCUCCUGCUGCUGCACAUUCAUCAUUUGCUGCCUCAUCCUCGUCAUCAUCAGGAGUCUCGUGGUUCGCAGACUGCAACGCUCUGGGCUUUGCUCCUGACCCCCUCUCCUGUAACACUUUCUACAGAUGUACCAACAACUAUGCAUACAAGUUUGACUGUCCUGGUGGGCUGUUAUGGCACCAGGACCAGUCUUCUUGUGACUGGCCCGACGCUGUCCAGUGUAUCCUCCCACUCACACCGCCCGACAUCCAACACUUCCUCCCUCCACACAACGCACGGUUUUAAAACUUAAGUCAUUCCCUGUCCUCUGUAGCCAAUAUUAGGGAAUUUUGUUGAUAGUUCAUAUCCUAAUGAUAUUCACUGCUCUAUAUAUUAUACAGUACAAUGAUAUUUGUUUCUCAAACUAUAACUCUCAGCCAAUUAGUAAGUCCUUACAUUAUUUUUAUUAAUUUAAUGGUAAGUGUUACUUGUGCACCUCUUCCUGUAGAAUGAUGCCCUACUCCUGCACCUCUCUUCCUAUUCCAAUGUUCUUUGUUUAAAAGAAUGGCUUCAGUCGUGGCCUUUAUUUUUAUCCUCUUCACCACUGAUCGGCUCGUUAGCCUUUGAAUAUUUCCUUCUUGGUAUUAUUUUAAUGUCAUCUUUUCACUGAUAUUGUUCUUAGAAAAUGUAAAUAUUUUUCAGAUAUUCUGUUGAUUUUCUAUGUUAUUAGUUGUAGACACUCUCUAGAUGCUGUACAGUAAUAAAAGUACUACAGAUCAUUAGUGGUAUUGUUCAUAAUACUGUACUGACAACUGUACUGUACUGUAUAUGUUGAAGAAUACCACUGUCAUGGUUUGUAUGUCAUUGGGUCUAUAUGUCCGUACUCUUGCCUGAAGUCAUAAAUAUUUUAAGCACAAUGACAGCAAGUUCUCUGUUUCAAAUUAAGUUUUGAUGUUCUUCAAGGGAAGGUUUCAGAUAAGACCAUUUGAGCUGUUACUGAUCAUGAGCAAACUUUUGGAAAUGUUGUACUAUAGUGCAGUAUGUUAUGAAAUGAUGGUCUUGUUAAGUCUUAAGACAAAAAGUAGAAAGGUUUUAAUACCUUUUUUAACAGUACACUUGUGUUUUAAAUGUGGGUGAUUGUUGUACUGUACAGUAUUAUUAAUGUCUGGGUAAACAUAAAUACUGUACUUAAAAUACUUGUUAACUUAAUCAUGUAUUAUGACUGUGUGUUUGAUGUUCCUGGCUGCCUUAUUGCCAGAUGACACUAUACUGUAAUAGGUGUUAGUUAGAGCAUUUCGGUGGAUGUUCCUGGUGGUCUUAUGUCUCACAAGACAUGAAAAUAAUAGAACUGUACAAUUGCAAUUAUUUCUGGAUAAGGAAGUCUGAUAUUGCAGCCUGUUUAUUCUUUUUGACAGUCUUAAUUUUAUCAAAGAAAUAAUACACAUCCUCUGGA